UGUGUAGGAGGCAAGUGCUCUUGCCACUAGGCCAUAUUCCCAGCCCCUCUGAAUGUUUCUUUGGAAAACGGGCUUUUUAACUUUGGAACGCUAAGGCAUUAAGACUACCAUAUUUCCCAUUAUAAAAUUGAACAAAUCUUUAGCUCUUAACACCCAAAAGGUUUUGCCUAGGACAGGCCGUGGUGAUAUAAAUUAAGUGUGGUCCUUUUUUUUAAAAAAUCUAACCUGACACCAGGCCUCAUCUGUAGAGCUGGAGUUUGAGACAGUCUUGGCUACCAACACAGGCUAAUUCCUAAAGGAAAGUUUGUUUUGUGUUUUAAACUACGUUAAGGUCAAAGUCAUGCACCCUUAAAACCAAGCCAUCAUCUUGGGCAUGUUACUGUUGGCCUGCUUUGUUAAUGAGACUGGUAACUAUAAAGAAGUGUGAAGAAACCACUGAAGACUGCCUGUCAUUUACUGCUGUUAAUCUACAUUAAUCUGAGAAUGUGAAGAGAAAUUUGAGAAUGCAGUGGAUUAUACCAAGCUGUAGUGAAAAUGCAAAGAUCUGUAACUUUUGAACUUGUUUUUAAGUGAUUGGAUUCCCUCUUAAGACUCUUUUCAAGUGUCUGCAUUAAAUAAAGUUCCUAGCAAAUAGCUAAAACUGGGUAAAUGUCUACUAACAUAAUAGCAAGUUAAGUAUACUGUUGACUUAUUUUUGGUCCAUAGUAAAUUCAUACUGUUCCAAAAUAAAUUUAUUGGUGUAUUGAGAAGCA
Perognathus longimembris pacificus (Pacific pocket mouse) is the source of this 752-nucleotide long non-coding RNA. RefSeq lists it as uncharacterized. The transcript is spliced from 2 exons. The record is from RefSeq and is a predicted model, not a curated record. NCBI's taxonomy places the organism in Eukaryota, Metazoa, Chordata, Mammalia, Rodentia, Heteromyidae.